GAUGAACGCUAGCGGGAGGCCUAACACAUGCAAGCCGAGCGGUAUUGUUUCUUCGGAAAUGAGAGGGCGGCGUACGGGUGCGUAACACGUGUGCAACCUGCCUUUAUCUGGGGGAUAGCCUUUCGAAAGGAAGAUUAAUACUCCAUAAUAUAUUGAACGGCAUCGUUUAAUAUUGAAAGCUCCGGCGGAUAGAGAUGGGCACGCGCAAGAUUAGCUAGUUGGUGAGGUAACGGCUCACCAAGGCGAUGAUCUUUAGGGGGCCUGAGAGGGUGAUCCCCCACACUGGUACUGAGACACGGACCAGACUCCUACGGGAGGCAGCAGUGAGGAAUAUUGGUCAAUGGGUGCAAGCCUGAACCAGCCAUCCCGCGUGAAGGACGACUGCCCUAUGGGUUGUAAACUUCUUUUGUAUAGGGAUAAACCUACCCUCGAGAGGGUAGCUGAAGGUACUAUACGAAUAAGCACCGGCUAACUCCGUG
RNAcentral lists this ribosomal RNA (479 nucleotides) under uncultured bacterium. RNAcentral describes it as "partial 16S ribosomal RNA". It matches the Rfam family "Bacterial small subunit ribosomal RNA", at positions 28 to 507 of the family's 1533-position model. The record is from RNAcentral.